This is a long non-coding RNA of Lagopus leucura (white-tailed ptarmigan), 145 nucleotides long. RefSeq lists it as uncharacterized. The record is from RefSeq and is a predicted model, not a curated record. The transcript is spliced from 3 exons. Lineage: Eukaryota; Metazoa; Chordata; Aves; Galliformes; Phasianidae.
CCACAUGCGAGGAAGUUCAAGAGCUUCAAAACUCACACUGGAUUGAAGUUUCCAAGUAUCAAGCCUGAACAGAACAGUUUACAAAAUAGCUGUGAUGAGGAUGGUUACGAAACAUGGGGAAGAAUGUUAUGACUACUUCAGACAC